UGCGCGCCGGACUGUGUCUGACUGACCACAGACGCCAGCGCCCCCUGAUAAUCCGAGUGUGUCUGGCUGUGUCUGGCUGAGCACAGAUUUCACGGGUGCCUGACAGACCAAGGCUGCUGGAUCUGUCCGCCUGACCACAGUUGACUGACUGACUGACUGCGCUCACCUGGCUGCGGCAUCUGGGCCUGGCGAGGCGCGUCUGACGGAGGCGGCCUGACUGCCGCUGACUGACCAGACUCCAUCUGGGCCUGCCGGGCCGUGUCUGACCGGCCACAGUUUGCUGACCGCGCCGGUUGGGGCCAGCUUCUCCACCACAUCUCUGCCUGGCAAGCAGGUCAAAGGACUCAGGUGGAUGAAAGGUCACACAUGUGUCAAAAGGGGCUGCCUUUUCCUGGCCAAGUCUCUUUUAUUCUUUUAGGUCUGCAACCCCUUCACCCAGGAAAUGAAUGCUCCAGUGAUUUAUAAGGCAGGAUCCAGGCUGAAGGCACAGCCCCUAUCCAAGAUAUACCUUUCCAGAGAUAAGAAAGAAGAUUUUUGACUUUAACAUGCAAUGGCUCUUCAAGUUUCUGCUUAGAACUGACAGCCAGCUCUCCAGCUCAUAUUUCACUGGCCAAAAAUCAGAGUUAGAAGGGGCCUUGCAGAUCAUCCUGUGUUUCACUGAUGGCAACACUGAAAUCUGAAGAAGGAAAUGGAUUUACCCUGGGGAUG
This is a long non-coding RNA of Otolemur garnettii (small-eared galago), 708 nucleotides long. RefSeq lists it as uncharacterized. The record is from RefSeq and is a predicted model, not a curated record. The transcript has 4 exons. Lineage: Eukaryota; Metazoa; Chordata; Mammalia; Primates; Galagidae.